AAGGACUUAGGCUAAUUANACCAAAGGCCUUCAAAGCNUUUAGCAGGAGUUAAAAUCUUCUAGCCCUUG
Molecule: transfer RNA, 69 nt
Filed under: Paradactylodon persicus (Persian mountain salamander)
Lineage: Eukaryota; Metazoa; Chordata; Amphibia; Caudata; Hynobiidae
Description: Iranodon persicus (Persian mountain salamander) tRNA-Trp
Rfam family: tRNA
About the family: Transfer RNA (tRNA) molecules are approximately 80 nucleotides in length. Their secondary structure includes four short double-helical elements and three loops (D, anti-codon, and T loops). Further hydrogen bonds mediate the characteristic L-shaped molecular structure. tRNAs have two regions of fundamental functional importance: the anti-codon, which is responsible for specific mRNA codon recognition, and the 3' end, to which the tRNAs corresponding amino acid is attached (by aminoacyl-tRNA synthetases). tRNAs cope with the degeneracy of the genetic code in two manners: having more than one tRNA (with a specific anti-codon) for a particular amino acid; and 'wobble' base-pairing, i.e. permitting non-standard base-pairing at the 3rd anti-codon position.
Source: RNAcentral